This 220-nucleotide long non-coding RNA is filed under the name Manihot esculenta (cassava). Its description in RNAcentral is "long non-coding RNA (MESC_LNC005637)". Lineage: Eukaryota; Viridiplantae; Streptophyta; Magnoliopsida; Malpighiales; Euphorbiaceae. The record is from RNAcentral.
UGGCUCUUGGAAUUGUUUUGGUAGUGAUUGAGUUGGAUUUGGACUUCUGAAAACUCAAAAUUCGGUUUCCUGAACAAUUUCCCGCUCUGCUGUAUUUUCUGCUGUCAUUGUGAUCGGGGCAGUGAUUUGGGCAAAUCACUGGUCCAAUCACUUUCUGCAAGUUUGUGCUAUCUCUGCUAGUGAUUUGACCAGUUUUUACGAGUGAUUUGGGCAAAUCACU